AUACAUCCUGGUGUGCUCUGCCUUGAAGUGUUUUUUUCCUGUCUGCCUGUCCAGCACCUUAUUUAUGCCCCAUUCUGUCUCUCUCUCUCGUUGCCUUUGUUCCGCGGUCUCCUGGGUGAUGGAGUUAGUGUUUGUGUGUAGGGAUGUGUGGACAAGAGGGAGCUGAUUUCUAGAGGUGAACUGGAGCUCCUGGGAGUCCUUUCCUUUGUGGGGGUUAUCAGUAUCAGAAUGGAGUGACUUCCAUCAAACUCUAACAAAAUGGAGGCGGAGACCAUGCAGAGCCAGCCUACACGCAUGCCUGUAACAGGACUUCUCACCAGGAAUCCCUGCACAUAUGCCUAUGACGGGGACUAUGCCAGGAACUCCUCACGUAUGCAGGAUUCGAGACCUUCCCCACAGUAUUAGGAUGGUUUCAUUGGCAAGUAAAAGAAACUGACCCUAACCCAGCUUAGGACUUCAGGAAAAUUGAUUGAAUGAUUGAUUGAUUGCUUCUAUGACUGAACACGCUGCCUCACCUCCAGGCCUCCUGGCUUGAUGCUCAGAGGGGCAAAAGGAGCUUCUCUCUUCUCCCAGCAGUCCCAUGUCGAAUCCUAGGUGAGCUCGGGCUGGCCUUACUCGGACACAUGCCCUUCCCUUGUGCCCUUGACUUAGCAGGAAGGAUGGGGGGCUGAUUAGCCAGACCUCGAGGGGGCCAGAAACUGUGACCGAACCCCCGAGAAUCAAUACCGUCAGCUUUGGGGAGAAGCAGCUCCCAGAAAAAAGAAACAGUAAUUGCUUAUAAUCUUGCUUUUCUUUCCAUGCUGACAAGAGACAUUUUCCCCGAGACUGACAGAAAGCGCCGUGUUGUCAAG
RNAcentral lists this long non-coding RNA (851 nucleotides) under Rhinopithecus bieti (black snub-nosed monkey). Its description in RNAcentral is "lncRNA (ENSRBIG00000045930.1)". The record is from RNAcentral. Lineage: Eukaryota; Metazoa; Chordata; Mammalia; Primates; Cercopithecidae.